UAGGACAUAUUCUCAGUUUGAGGUAGAUGUUCCUCCAGAGUUUGUUCAACAUGAUCAGAGUGGGCUGCGUUUAUGUUUUAGUGAUAUUCCUCAUAGGUUUUUCUCACAGCAAUCGUGUUGACCAAUCUCCUCUACAUGUGUUUAAAAACAAAGGAGAAAAUGCUAAAAUUGAUUGUUCACACAGUGUUCCGAGUUACAACCAGGUUAACUGGUACAAACAAACCCAGGACCAGAGCUUAGCUCUUAUUGGAUAUCGCUUAGGGGAGAGCAGCGAAUUCAAGGAAGAAGACUUUAAGAAUAAAGUGGACAUCACUGGAAAUGGAAACAACAAUGUCUCUUUGACCAUCAAAGAUCUCUCAGUCUCAGACAGUGCAGUGUAUUUCUGUGCUGCUUAUUACACAGUGCUGCAGAGCUGCUCUACUGAGACAGUGGUGUCACUCAAAGCCCCAGUAUACUCAUGGUUUCUAAUGGAAAACCUGCUGAAAUGCACUGCAAGCAUGAUAUGGGAAGCACUUACCGCUACAUGUACUGGUUCCAACAACACCAAGGGGAAUCUAUGA
Non-coding RNA from Astyanax mexicanus (Mexican tetra), 560 nucleotides. NCBI's taxonomy places the organism in Eukaryota, Metazoa, Chordata, Actinopteri, Characiformes, Acestrorhamphidae. The record is from the annotation of a RefSeq genome assembly.